Non-coding RNA from Caretta caretta (loggerhead turtle), 2578 nucleotides. NCBI's taxonomy places the organism in Eukaryota, Metazoa, Chordata, Testudines, Cheloniidae. The record is from RefSeq and is a predicted model, not a curated record.
CUGCAGAGGCGACCUCUCCCAGAUAAGAGAUAUUUUUAAGAGGCAAGCCUGGAGAAGAGAGCAUAAUUCUCCCACCAGAAGACAGGCCUGGGCAGUUAUAGUCCAUCAUGCAGACUGCUAUUUAGUGCAGUACGAGUCCCUUAUAGCGAGAAAUUCACACCCCCCCGCCAUGCACAGAGCUACAGCAAGGCCUGGGCACCACUUAAAUGGUGCCGGCUGGCCACGCAGGAAUGAAUUUCACCAACAGCAACCUCCAAUAGCCCCCAACACAGUUCAGGAGAAUGAAAGUGACAUUAGUACAAGUGAAGGUGCAUCUGAUGAAGUGGGCUGUAGCUCACGAAAGCUUAUGCUCAAAUAAAUGGGUUGGUCUCUAAGGUGCCCCGAGUCCUCCUGUUCUUUUUGCGGAUACAGACUAACACGGCUGUUACUCUGAAACCUGUCAUUAGUACAAGUAGUUUAAUAUAGCAAGUGCCUCCCAUGGCCCUACUCGAACAAGGAUUGAAACAAAACGGUUUCAACAUAAGUUUGGACGGCCACAUUGGACGUCAGUAUUUUUUGCAGCAUAGAAGGAAACUAGCCAUAUUUUAAACCUAACCCAGAACCACGUUACCCCAUGUGCAAUAUGAGAUAGAAUAGAUCCGUUUUCAGCCCUUAGAUCAUCAUAGUUUAUGGCCAGCACAGUUCUAGGUGCUUGGCUACACUUACAUUAUAUAGUGCUCAAACUUGCUAGGCUCCCAGCACUCAGAGCUAUUUCCCUCGUGGAAGUGGACUAUCAGGAGCACUGGGAGAGACCUCACGCAGGACCACACGCGCUUCAAAGCGCCACGGGAGCGCUCCAUGGGCAGCGCUUUGAAGUUUUAGUGUAGAUCUCGCCUAAGCGUGCCACACACACCCCCGCGCCCCGUUUUCCUCUCCUGCCAAUAAAACCAAGUUUUGGAGCAAAGUAGCCAGCCGAGAAUCUACACCAGGCUUACAACAUUCUGAAAAAAGCUUUGACGUCCACAACAGUGAAGGAGACAAUACUAAGUCUAUAUUGCAUUUUAUAAAACACUUCUAAACUGACCUAACGCUUCAUGACCCUUGCCCCAGAGAGAUUACAGUCUUAAGUUAUUUUUAAGUACCCAAAAGCAUUUUAAGUGCUUCCUAGAAACAAAUGAAGCCAUGCACUCUGCCCAAAGUCCUUACAGGUGAAGGCCCUGAUUUGCAGACACUUGAAUCCCUGGAGCCCAAGUGAAUGUAGUUCCCAGAUAGAGCUCCAGGGGUUUAGUCACAUGAGUAAAGUUAGAGUUCAGGUCAAGUUCAGACAUGACUCAGCAAUUAUGGGGUAACAAGAGGAAGGAAAAGGGUGACGCUAAACUAACACAUCAGUACGUGAGGCUCGUCACUGCCGAACUGUUUCUUUCGGUAAGUUGCUUGGGGUUUGUUUUUGUUUCUAAAAGUCACAUCUGAUAGCCUUCCCGGUGGCGAUGUUAUAACCUGAGAGAUGGGUUCAUACAAGUGUUUGACAUACAGGGCAGACGAUGGAGGCACAGAUGAGGGAGCGGGAGAAGCAACCACAGAUUAUGACAAGGCUGUCAACAGCAGAACAAAGAGAAAUCAACUAGGGGAGGAACGUGGAAAGAGACAAGGUAUGAGACUGCUGCUUUGAACACAGCGGUGGCUGGCCCAGUUUCAACCACAGCAUGGACAGGCCAGAAUCCAAAAAGCAACUGCACUUCCCGCAGCCAAAGAGAACUGCAGAUUAUGAGCGAAAUUCUGCCCCCACUGACGCUAAUGGCAAAACUACCAUUUUUUCCAGGAGUCUCCAAGCUCUAGAGCAGAGCGUUAGCUGCAGGCACCUGGGCGUGGUGCGUCACUUAACUUCACUGCAAGGAGGGAUCCUGCAAACACUCACGCAUGGGUGUUACUUUAUUCGUCAGGAGCUGAGCCCAAAAGACAACACUUACAAGUGUGCUUAACUGAACUUUAGCCACAGGGACUAGUCCUGGUGUAAAGUUAGCAUUCAGCACAAUGGGACCCCCUAUCUGAUUGCUGCAUUUGGGUGCUACUGUAGGAUAAAUGACAUUAAAUAAUAAUAAUAAUAAUAAUAAUGAGGAAUUUUUCUUCAUUAUGUUGUGAGGAUGAUGCUUUGCAAGUUGGAUGACACUUGACCCCCCCAGAGGUAAUGUGGUGAUAGUGUCACAAUAUAUUAUGAUGCCAUAGAAUCAUAGGACUGGAAGGGACCUUGGGAGGUCAUUUAGUCAAGGCCCCUGCACUCAUGGCAGGACUAAGUAUUACCUAGACCAUCCCUAACAGGUGUUUGUCCAACCUGCUCUUAAAAAUCCCCAAUGACGGAGCUUCCACAACCUCCCUAGGCAAUUUAUUCCAGUGCUUAACCCCCCUGACACGAAGUUUUUCCUAAUGUCCAACCUAAACCUCCCUGGCUGCAAUUUAAGCCCAUUGUUUCUUGUCCUAUCCUCAGAGGUUAAGAACAAUUUUUCUCCCUCUUCCUUGUAACAACCUAUGUACUUGAAAACUGUUAUCAUGUCCCCUCUCAAUCUUCUCUUUUCCAGACUAAACAAACCCGAUUUUUUUCAAU